UACGUGUGGGGCAAGCGUUGUUCGGAAUUACUGGGCAUAAAGGGUGCGUAGGCGGCUAUUUAAGUCAGGGGUGAAAUCCCGCGGCCCAACCGUGGAAUUGCCUUUGACACUGGAUGGCUCGAGUGUGCUAGGGGUGAGCGGAACGAGUGGUGUAGCGGUGAAAUGCGUAGAGAUCACUCGGAAGGCCGGAGCCGAAGGGGGCUCACUGGGGCACAACUGACGCUGAGGCACGAAAGCGUGGGGAGCAAACAGG
This 253-nucleotide unclassified non-coding RNA is filed under the name uncultured Planctomycetota bacterium. RNAcentral's name for it is "uncultured planctomycete contains 16S-23S intergenic spacer region". It matches the Rfam family "Bacterial small subunit ribosomal RNA", at positions 524 to 776 of the family's 1533-position model. Lineage: Bacteria; Pseudomonadati; Planctomycetota. The record is from RNAcentral.